RNAcentral lists this ribosomal RNA (467 nucleotides) under uncultured bacterium. RNAcentral's name for it is "partial 16S ribosomal RNA". It matches the Rfam family "Bacterial small subunit ribosomal RNA", at positions 28 to 507 of the family's 1533-position model. The record is from RNAcentral.
GAUGAACGCUGGCGGCGUGCUUAACACAUGCAAGUCGAACGGUGAAGCAGAGCUUGCUCUGUGGAUCAGUGGCGAACGGGUGAGUAACACGUGAGCAACCUGCCCCUGACUCUGGGAUAAGCGCUGGAAACGGCGUCUAAUACUGGAUAUGAGCUGCGACCGCAUGGUCAGCAGUUGGAAAGAUUUUUCGGUCUGGGAUGGGCUCACGGCCUAUCAGCUUGGUGGUGAGGUAAUGGCUCACCAAGGCGUCGACGGGUAGCCGGCAUGAGCGGGUGACCGGCCACAUUGGGAAGGGGAUACGGCGCAGAGGAAUCCGGGAGGGAGCAGGGGGGAAGAGUGCACAAGGGGCGGAAGCAGGAUGCAGCAACGCCGCGGGAGGGAGGACGGCCGUCGGGUUGGAAAACGACUGCGCCUGUGACGAAGCGUGAGUGACGGUAAUGGGUAAAAAAGCACCGGCUAACUACGUG